Molecule: non-coding RNA, 167 nt
Filed under: Photobacterium halotolerans
Lineage: Bacteria; Pseudomonadati; Pseudomonadota; Gammaproteobacteria; Vibrionales; Vibrionaceae
Description: MoCo sequence
Rfam family: Molybdenum/Tungsten riboswitch aptamer (Moco RNA motif)
Source: Rfam by way of RNAcentral
ACUGCCAUCAAAACUCCGAGCGACUCUCUUCUAAGUCAUGAAGACAUAACGGAAUCGUCCAUGAUAAGAGGGUGUCGCCAGUGACCGGCCUGUGCUGGUUUCACUCAGGGUGAGUUCAGAAAUGAGCUGGCCUCCCGUAUUUGGAAAGGUGUUCCGUGGCGAAACAA